GUGGCGCACGGGUGAGUAACACGUGAAUGACAUGCCCUUCAGAGGGGGGUAGCCCAGGGAAACUUGGAUUAAUACCCCAUGGUCUCGCAAGAGUAAAGGUGGCGCAAGCUGCCGCUGGGGGAUUGGUUCGCGCCCUAUCAGCUAGUUGGUGAGGUAACGGCUCACCAAGGCGAUGACGGGUACUUGGUCUGAGAGGACGAUCAGGCACACUGGAACUGAGACACGGUCCAGACACCUACGGGUGGCAGCAGUCGAGAAUAAUUCACAAUGGGGGCAACCCUGAUGGUGCAACGCCGCGUGGAGGAUGAAGGUCUUCGGAUUGUAAACUCCUGUCAUCCGGGAGAAAGACCUGGCUGUGAAUAGCAGACAGGGUUGAUAGUACCGGAAGAGGAAGGGACGGCUAACUUCGUGCCAGCAGCCGCGGUAAUACGAAGGUCCCGAGCGUUGUUCGGAAUCACUGGGCGUAAAGGGAGCGUAGGCGGCGUGGUAAGUCAGAUGUGAAAUCCCGGGGCUCAACCCCGGAACUGCAUCCGAUACUGCCGUGCUGGAGCAAUGGAGGGGUAGCCGGAAUUCUCGGUGUAGCAGUGAAAUGCGUGGAUAUCGAGAGGGACACUUGUGGCGAAGGCGGGCUACUGGACAUUUGCUGACGCUGAGGCUCGAAGGCCGGGGGAGCGAAAGGGAUUAGAUACCCCUGUAGUCC
This 700-nucleotide ribosomal RNA is filed under the name uncultured Verrucomicrobiaceae bacterium. RNAcentral describes it as "bacterial SSU rRNA". It matches the Rfam family "Bacterial small subunit ribosomal RNA", at positions 95 to 796 of the family's 1533-position model. Lineage: Bacteria; Pseudomonadati; Verrucomicrobiota; Verrucomicrobiia; Verrucomicrobiales; Verrucomicrobiaceae. The record is from RNAcentral.